UACGUAGGGGGCGAGCGUUGUCCGGAAUCAUUGGGCGUAAAGAGCGUGUAGGCGGCCCGAUAAGUCCGCUGUGAAAGUCCAGGGCUCAACCCUGGAAUGCCGGUGGAUACUGUCGGGCUCGAAUCCGGAAGAGGUGAGUGGAAUUCCUGGUGUAGCGGUGAAAUGCGCAGAUAUCAGGAGGAACACCAAUGGCGAAGGCAGCUCACUGGGACGGUAUUGACGCUGAGACGCGAAAGCGUGGGGAGCAAACAGG
RNAcentral lists this ribosomal RNA (253 nucleotides) under uncultured bacterium. Its description in RNAcentral is "partial 16S ribosomal RNA". It matches the Rfam family "Bacterial small subunit ribosomal RNA", at positions 524 to 776 of the family's 1533-position model. The record is from RNAcentral.